RNAcentral lists this ribosomal RNA (460 nucleotides) under uncultured bacterium. RNAcentral's name for it is "partial 16S ribosomal RNA". It matches the Rfam family "Bacterial small subunit ribosomal RNA", at positions 338 to 795 of the family's 1533-position model. The record is from RNAcentral.
CCUACGGGAGUCAGCAGUGAGGAAUAUUGGUCAAUGGACGAGAGUCUGAACCAGCCAAGUAGCGUGAAGGAUGACUGCCCUAUGGGUUGUAAACUUCUUUUAUAAAGGAAUAAAACGAGGCACGUGUGCCUGUUUGCAUGUACUUUAUGAAUAAGGAUCGGCUAACUCCGUGCCAGCAGCCGCGGUAAUAAGGUGGAUCCGAGCGUUAUCCGGAUUUAUUGGGUUUAAAGUGAGCGUAGAUGGGUUGUUAAGUCAGUUGUGAAAGUUUGCAGCUCAACCGUAAAAUUGCAAUUGAUACUGGCAGUCUUGAGGACAGGUGAGGUAAGCGGAAUUCGUGGUGUAGCGGUGAAAUGCUUAGAUAUCACGAAGAACCCCGAUUGCGAAGGCAGCUUACUAAACUGUGACUGACAUUGAUGCUCGAAAGUGUGGGUAUCAAACAGGAUUAGAUACCCCGGUAGUC